AUGCCGCCCCCGCCGCCGCUCGACUCCCUGCCACCGCCGCCGCCGCCGCUGCCGGAUUUCUCGCCGUCGCCGGCGAAGAUCCACCGCUCCAUCAGCAUGCCCCUGCCGCCUUCUGCCGGCGAUAAGAAUCCCGCCAUGCUCCAUGUCGACUCCAUUAGGGAGGAGGAUUCAAUGAGCUGGCAUGAGUUAGAAGAUUGAUGUAGUCGCUGGGUCAAGGAAUUAGGCGUAGGACAUCUCCUCCGCCCGCGGCGCCGCCUUCUUCUCCUCCUCCUCCAGCUCCACCGACGCCAGCGCCAGCGCCCGAGACGGCCGCGACUCCUGAGCCUCCACCGCCUACUCCUCCUCCUCCCCCGCCCUCGUCGGAGAUGAAGUCCGGAGUUGACACUUGGGACUAUUUCUUCUCCAUGGACGAGGGGAUGGCCUCCAUCGCCCCCGAUGACGACGAGAUCAUGGCUGGGCCGGAAGAGGAGAAGUACGUCCCGGCAUCGCCACCGCGCCCGCCUCCCUCUCCUCCUCCGCCGGCGGCGGUGCCACUGUCGGAGGAGUUUGAGGAGGAGCCGCGGACGCCGGAGAUGGUCGCGCCGCCUCCGUCGCUGCCACCGAAGCCCCCGAAGAAUUCGUCCAAGAAGAAGAAGGGGAAGGGGAAGCUUAAGGCAGCGCACCACCAGCACACAGAGUCGGCGCCGCCGGUCACGCUGGUUGGCGGUGGUAAGGCAGGGAAGAUAGUCCCCGAAAUGCCGCGUGUGGACCUCCUCCGGGUGCUCGCGGAAAUCGACGAGAGGUUCUUGAAGGCGUCGGAGAGCGCCGGUGAGGUAUCCAAGGUGCUGGAGGCCAACAGGAUGCAUUACCACUCCAAUUUUGCCGACAACCGAGGGCAUAUUGAUCAUUCUGCGAGAGUCAUGAAAAUAAUUACAUGGAAUAGAUCCUUCAAAGGCAUGCAAAAUGGUGAUGAAGGGAAGGAUGACUUUGAAAAUGAUGAAUGGGAGACCUUGGCAACUGUGGUAGAUAAAAUCUUAGCAUGGGAGAAAAAGCUCUAUGAUGAAGUGAAGGCUGGUGAGAUUAUGAAGCUUGAGUAUCAGAGGAAGGUUGCUUUGUUAAAUAGACAAAAGAAACACAAUGCUGCCAUUGAGGUUCUGGAGAAAACGAAAGCUGCUGUAACCCACUUGCAUACAAGAUACAUAGUUGAUAUGCAAUCAAUGGAUUCAACUGUGUCAGAAAUUCAGCAUCUCCGUGACAAUCAACUUUACCCAAGAUUAUUGGACCUUGCUGACAGGAUGGCAAAAAUGUGGGAGGACAUGCACAUGCAUCACGCUAACCAGCUGAAAACUGUGCUAAAGCUGAAGUCAGUUGACAUUUCUGAUGCCAAUAUUGAAACAAGUGAUUAUCACCACAGCCACACGCGCCAGCUGCGUGAUAUUGUAGAUAAGUGGAUCACAAACUUUACUGACCUCAUGAGUUAUCAAAAGGAAUACAUCAAUGCUCUCUAUGGCUGGUUGAAGCUGAACCUGAUACCCAUUGAGAGCAGCUUGAAGGAGAAAGUAGCAUCACCACCCAGGAUGCAGCAACCUCCUAUCAAAGCCUUUCUUCAGGCCUGGAAUGAGCACCUAACCAAGCUGCCUGAUGAUCUAGCCAAGACAGCCAUUGUCAGUUUCCGAGCAGUCUUGGAGACUAUAUUAGGCGUUCAAGACGAGGAGUUGAAACAGAAGGAGAUCUGCGAGCAGACUCGCAGGGAAUAUGCGCGGAAGGCCCGGGCUUUUGAGGACUGGUACCACAAGCACUCACAGCGCAGAACGUUUGACGUUGAUCCAGAGACCGGCGAGGGAACAGGCCACAAGGAUGCAGUCACAGAGAAGAAAUUCGCGGUGGAGAGCUUGAAGAGCAAGCUCGAUGAUGAGAUUGAAUCCCACAAUAAGCUGUCGAAGCAAGUCAGGGAGAAGUCCCUGUCAAUCCUGAAGGCACACCUGCCAGAGCUGUUCCGCGCCCUGGCUGACUUCUCCAAUGCUUCUUUUGAUAUGUACUCGAAGCUGAGGCUUAUGUCCUUGAUGCAGGAUCAGGGCAACAACUAGCUGAAGGAUAUGUACAGGAGUUAGAUUGCUAGUAAUAUCCCUCCUCCCUCCUAAUGUUGUACUGCUUGUGUUGUUCACCUACCCCCUUUUUGCGGUACAUGUAGCUCUUUAGACGAGGACUGUUAGGGAUGGUGGCUGUUCGUUUUCUUUAUUUAAUUUAUUGAAUUCUUCAGGUAUUUCAGCAUGAGCUUCUUUCGGAAUUCGGAUGGCUUGCUGAAUUUAAAGUA
This is an RNA transcript of Setaria italica (foxtail millet), 2293 nucleotides long. It is a transcript of the gene named nitrate regulatory gene2 protein, with no coding region annotated. Lineage: Eukaryota; Viridiplantae; Streptophyta; Magnoliopsida; Poales; Poaceae. The record is from RefSeq and is a predicted model, not a curated record. The transcript has 5 exons.